Molecule: non-coding RNA, 900 nt
Filed under: Cyttopsis rosea (rosy dory)
Lineage: Eukaryota; Metazoa; Chordata; Actinopteri; Zeiformes; Parazenidae
Description: partial 12S rRNA
Rfam family: Bacterial small subunit ribosomal RNA
Source: RNAcentral
GCCCCCGUGAGAAUGCCCUAUAUGUCCCACCAAGGAAAGUAGGAGCUGGCAUCAGGCACGCAACUGCAGCCCAAGACGCCUUGUUUAGCCACGCCCCCAAGGGUAUUCAGCAGUGAUCAACCUUAAGCCAUGAGUGAAAACUUGACUUAGUUAAAGUUUACCAGGGCCGGUAAACCUCGUGCCAGCUACCGCGGUUAGACGAGAGGCCCAAGUUGGAUAGCCCAACGGCGUAAAGCGUGGUUAAGGAAACAUAAUACAACUAGGGCUGAACGUCUCCCAAGCAGUUUAAAGCUUAUGGAGAUAUGAAACCCACCAACGAAAGUGGCCCUAACUAACCCUGACCCCACGAAAGCUACAAAACAAACUGGGAUUAGAUACCCCACUAUGUGUAGUCGUAAACUUUGAUGGCAUGAUACACACAGCCAUUCGCCUGGUUAUUACGAGCAGCAGCUUAAAACCCAAAGGACUUGGCGGUGCUUUAGACCCAUCUAGAGGAGCCUGUUCUAGAACUGAUAAUCCCCGUUAAACCUCACCGCCCCUUGUUAAAUUCAGCUUAUAUACCACCGUCGUCAGCUUACCCUGUGAAGGUCGAACAGUGAGCAAAAUCAAUCAACUUCAAAACGCCAGGUCGAGGUGUAGCUAAUGAGGCGGGAAGAAAUGGGCUACAUUCUCUCAUUGAGAGUAUACGAACGGUGUCAAUUGAAACAUUCACUCUGAAGGUGGAUUUAGUAGUAAGUGGGAAAUAGAGUGUCCCCCUGAAACUGGCUCUGAGGCGCGCACAUACCGCCCGUCAUUCUCUCCGAAUUAACCCUAAAAUACUUAACUAAGAAAUCAGAUUAAAUAAAGGGGAGGUAAGUCGUAACAUGGUAAGUGUACCGGAAGGUGUACUUGGCUCAACAU